CCUGAUAAAGUUAACUUCAGGACCCCUUUCUUCUCUUUCCGAUAAGAUUAACUUCGGAGCCCCGCCUUUUACCCUCUUCUUCUCUCUCCGAUAAGGUUAACUUUGGAACCCAUCCCCCAGUAAGGACGAAUGAUAUUUGGCCUCCCUUCCUUUCUUCCCAGUCAUAAAUAAACAAAAAAAUAAAGUCUGGGUUCCAACUGGUAAAACAUUUUCAAAAAAAAAAAUCUUUCACCCAUUUCUCCCCGACGAAAAAUUUCCUCAAUGAUUGC
RNAcentral lists this long non-coding RNA (269 nucleotides) under Lathyrus oleraceus (garden pea). Its description in RNAcentral is "Pisum sativum (pea) long non-coding RNA (PSAT_LNC018515)". Lineage: Eukaryota; Viridiplantae; Streptophyta; Magnoliopsida; Fabales; Fabaceae. The record is from RNAcentral.